CUAAAAUCAAAAGCAUCGCAAAAUAUAUGAUCUUAGCUGUUUUGAACAGUUAUAUUCAAAUUCAUUAAAUGGAUUGAUGUUACCACUCAUCAUGACACAAACAAUGUGAUAUUAUCUACUUGGUUCACAGGAAAUAACUGUAAGAAAUUUCGAUUUUUUAUGAAGAACUGUACAAGUUUGUUGAAAUCUGCUGUCCACUAUGGGAUACCAUCAACCUAAUUUAGAAGCUUUAUAGUCAGUCUAUUCGUCUACAAUUGCAAUUAAUAAAAGUACUAUAGUGGUACUACCUUGAACCUUCUACAGUUUUGGAUUAAAGUGAAUAAAAAAUACGGCAUUGGAUUCAGCAUAAAACAAUAUAUAAUAUUAAAUGUAAUUUUUGCUAGGUUAUAAUGUAACAUAAAUUAUUAGAUUAAUUAAUUAAAUUAAUUUAUUGUUUAAUUAUUGUAUUACUAUUAAGUAUGUAGUUUAUGUCGGCAAACAUUUUAGUGUACAUUAUUAAUUUGGCACAUGCCACAUACCUAAUAUAGGUUAAUUUAUUACUAGGUGACAUUUUGAAAUGUUGAGGCUAUUGAAUUAUUAUUAAUAAGUUCAAUUUUUAAAAUACUGU
Molecule: long non-coding RNA, 607 nt
Organism: Rhopalosiphum maidis (corn leaf aphid)
Lineage: Eukaryota; Metazoa; Arthropoda; Insecta; Hemiptera; Aphididae
Exons: 3
Source: RefSeq, a predicted model, not a curated record